GUGGUUUGCCAAGUUUGAACAAGGAGAAAUGAGCACCGAGGACGAAUCACGCAGUGGACGCCCGAAAGCGGCUGUUACGGACGAAAACAGCUAAAUGAAGUUGAUCGCGAUAACUGGGGAUCUAAAGCAAUCAAAGCUAACGUGUUGGACAUAUCCUGCAUGAAUAUUUGGGUAUGCAAAAGCACUGUGCAAAGUGCUUUCGCAUACCCAAAGCACUUUGAACAGUGCUUUCACAUACCCAAUCGACCAAAAUCAACAACGAAUGCAACACAAUACAAUAGCUUUCUCAAGCGGUUUCAUACUGACUGAAUUCUAUUCAAUUUUGCUUCGCCCAAUAAUAAAUUGAAUCGCACGACCUUCCACCUACAUAAUGAGUAUUAAUUUUACUAUUACUAUUGAAAAUGAAAAACCACUGAAAAAAAUUUUACUGAAUCAUCAAAUGGACAUGUAAUGAACUCAUUAUGAUUUGUACUUUAUAUAAUAACAAUUUGAGUCACAUGACCUGAAAGAAAAUUAUUACCAAUUCGUUAAAUUUCCAUGAGAUAAAUGAAUUACCAAUUUCCACAUUAGAAUACAGAUUAAGAAGAGGAGACAAAUUCAUUUAUAUUUGGUCAUGCAGUGAAAAUUCAGAAUUCUCAAAUUUAAUAAUUUACAAACUGGUACAGGGAACAAGAAAGUUGGAAGGGAAAACGUAAUAAGAUCAUGAGAGUGCAAUGUUUUCUGUCGACUUGAAACAAAUGGAUGAGUCGGACAGCUCCCGAAUAGCAAAAAUAUCUGCUGGAGACAAAGUUUUAAUGGAAUGGACUUCGAAGAUGAAUACAACCAACAUUGAUUUAAUCGCCCUCAUACCAAUAAUUUUUCUGAAGUAGCAUGUAAUGUCGAAACACAUUCUGAAAAUUAUUUGAAAUUAAAAUUUCAGAUUUUCAACAGAUAAUGUUAAAUAUGUUUCAUUUGUAACACGUUCAAAGUGAUACACGUAAUACAGUGUAUUAAGACAAAUAUAGUUUUUGUAUUUCUUAAAGUGACAAUUAAGACAAAAACAAAGUUUCCAUGGGCUGAAAGGUAGAACUGAAACUUCUAGCAUAAAAUGUAUUCUCGCCACGCUUUUCACCAAACGAGUCGGAGUCAUCAGGAUAUGAAUUAUACUGGUACAGUAAAUGUAGUGGAGUAUAGUUUGUAUUGGAAUUUGUUUAAACACAUGUCAUUUUGUGGAAUGAAACUGCUGAAGUAUUAUCUGCACAUAUAUAGUCAAGGUUAUAUAUUGCAAUGCUUUCUCCAAAUAUCAGCUGUUGCCGAUUCGACACUGUUGCUUACGUUUGACAAAGCCCUUCAUCAGAGCCCUGAACUGUUUUUCAUAAUCAUUUCAAUUUUGCCAGCAGAAAACAUUCACAAAUUACACAUGCGCGUAGAUUUGCUGCAACCUUUCUAUUUUACUCAAUAGGAUAGUGCGAUACUCCAUGAAAUCCUUAUUUUGAUAGCGGGGUGGAGUCGAUUCUCAAACAGAAAUUCUGUCGAGAUUGGCAUAUGGAAUCAUAGUCUGGGGACAAUCACCGCUGCCAAACGUCUCUUCAUUAGACAGAAAAAGUGCAUUCGUGCCAUGUUUCGCAAACCUCAAACAUAAUCUAGAAAACAUCUCUUUAGAAAGCCACAAGUAUUACUGCUUAUUUCUCAUUACAUAUUGGAAACUGCUUGUUACAUUUACAAACGUAGAAAUACUUUGCUCUGUUGUAAAGACAUUCACGGUCGUUUCACCAGAAAUCAGCAUUUGCUGUAUACUCCUCUGAAUAGAUUGAACCUAGCUCAAAACGGUCCUCUAAGCAUCGGAAUUCCAAUUUUUAAUAAAAUUUCUCAAAAUAUCACUAAUGAAGCUACCUAUUUGAUUCAAGAAGUCACUGAAAAAAGUUAGUAAUUGAAGGUGCAAUCUAUACUUUGGAAGAAUUUUUUUAGUAUAUAAAUCACUGAUAUUGUAUUCUGUCGUACUCUGGGUAAUUGUAUAUUUUACGUUAAUAUUUAUAUUGUAGUGUACUCUCUCUGUACUUGUACUUAUCAUUUUAACUUUUUAUUCAGUAAUUUUGCUCUUUGUCUCUAUACUACAAAUUUUUGACAAGUCGUAUUGGUUUUCAGAUGAAUAAAUUUGAUUGACUGAUUGAAAACGAUCCAAUCAUUUCAUGAGAAUAUUACUUUACAAAACUACAACACAUAUUCACUGGAUAUGUGUUUCGUCAGGUGAUUUUAGAUUGAAAAUACUAUACAUUUUUCAACGGUAGUACCAGAGUUACAUAUUUUCGUUUAAAUAUCAUAUAUCAAUGAUGGAAAAAAAAGGUUUUGACUUUCUACUUCUACAUCUUUAUACAAAAAAAUGUGGGAAUCUUUCAAA
Long non-coding RNA from Leptinotarsa decemlineata (Colorado potato beetle), 2377 nucleotides. Lineage: Eukaryota; Metazoa; Arthropoda; Insecta; Coleoptera; Chrysomelidae. The record is from RefSeq and is a predicted model, not a curated record.